ACGCACGCUGGCGGCGUGCCUAAUACAUGCAAGUAGCACUCUGAAGGAGGAGCUUGCUUCUCUGGAUGAGUUGCGAACGGGUGAGUAACGCGUAGGUAACCUGCCUGGUAGCGGGGGAUAACUAUUGGAAACGAUAGCUAAUACCGCAUAAUAGCAGUUGUUGCAUGACAACUGUUUGAAAGGUGCAAUUGCACCACUACCAGAUGGACCUGCGUUGUAUUAGCUAGUUGGUGGGGUAACGGCUCACCAAGGCGACGAUACAUAGCCGACCUGAGAGGGUGAUCGGCCACACUGGGACUGAGACACGGCCCAGACUCCUACGGGAGGCAGCAGUAGGGAAUCUUCGGCAAUGGACGGAAGUCUGACCGAGCAACGCCGCGUGAGUGAAGAAGGGUUUCGGAUCGUAAAGCUCUGUUGUAAGAGAAGAACGAGUGUGAGAGUGGAAAGUUCACACUGUGACGGUAUCUUACCAGAAAGGGACGGCUAACUACGUG
RNAcentral lists this ribosomal RNA (494 nucleotides) under uncultured bacterium. RNAcentral describes it as "partial 16S ribosomal RNA". It matches the Rfam family "Bacterial small subunit ribosomal RNA", at positions 29 to 507 of the family's 1533-position model. The record is from RNAcentral.